Triticum dicoccoides is the source of this 683-nucleotide long non-coding RNA. RefSeq lists it as uncharacterized. The transcript is spliced from 3 exons. NCBI's taxonomy places the organism in Eukaryota, Viridiplantae, Streptophyta, Magnoliopsida, Poales, Poaceae. The record is from RefSeq and is a predicted model, not a curated record.
AAGACCUGCAAAAUUUUCAAGUUUUUCAGGUGGUGUUUUGGAAUCUAGAUUGAUUUAGUAUUGUAUGUUGUGUGAUGUGCCCUUGCCAAGAAUAUUUGAUGUGUGUGAUGACACGAGCAAUUGUAGAGGAGUGAACACCAUGCUCGAUUAGUGGACUGCCGCUUGAGAAGAAGCUUGUCAUUUGUCUCUUCGAGCCGCGGCGGAUAGGGGCCUUCGAAGAACUUGGGGUUUGACAUAGCCAUCGAGGAAGUGCAGGAUACAAACCAAGUGUAAUCAAAGAGGAUAUGGAUUCAGUACAGACAUGAGUGAAGGAAUGUUACUCCAAUUUGGUACUUUAUUUUAUUGUUUUCAUUUAGUCUGCAUUAGCUUAACAAAUAACAUUUGUGGGACAACUAAUAUUUGAACAUGGAUUUUUUCAGGAUCUUGGAGAAUGUUUUCUCAGUGUGGUUCAGGUUAAAUUGUUGUCCUACUGUUCCUGCUCAACCUCCUAAUGUUCUAUGUCUUCGCUGUGCCUUCUUCCAACUUCUCUAUUGGUUUUCUCUUCACACCGAUGUAAGUGCAUGACCUUUUCACACCGAUGUAAGUGCAUGUUUCAUGCGUAUAACUAGAGCCAUAUUAAAAAUGCAAGUGGUGCGAAAAGGUCACAUCCAUGUAUAAAUUAAUAGCUAGGUUGUGUUUAAGAA